UGCAAGAAGAGUUGUGGCCUUUGCAGCGGAGGGAAUGGAGGAGGCGGUGGCUUCGGUGGCUACGGUGGCUAUGGUGGCCGCCCUAGCUGGGGACGUCGAUAAAAACGUGGCUCUAACCUAAGGUUUCUGGUUUUCCAAUAAUUAUUUCGAUGGCUGAAAAAUGGAGAACGAAUGGAAUAGGAGAUACGUCAUGGCUCAGUAUUGUAGGCAGGG
Pocillopora damicornis (cauliflower coral) is the source of this 213-nucleotide long non-coding RNA. The record is from RefSeq and is a predicted model, not a curated record. NCBI's taxonomy places the organism in Eukaryota, Metazoa, Cnidaria, Anthozoa, Scleractinia, Pocilloporidae.